This is a microRNA precursor of Myotis lucifugus (little brown bat), 75 nucleotides long. It matches the Rfam family "mir-9223 microRNA precursor family". NCBI's taxonomy places the organism in Eukaryota, Metazoa, Chordata, Mammalia, Chiroptera, Vespertilionidae. The record is from Rfam.
GGCGGUUCUCAGGUGACGCACCCUGGAAACAGGCUCCCUCCUCUCUGGUUCUGGGUGUGUUACCUGACACCUGCA